GCGUAACACGUAAGUAAUCUACCCCGAACUCCGGGAUAACCCUCCGAAAGGAGGGCUAAGACUGGAUAGGGUCCCCGAGGUGUAGGCUGCGGGGGGAAAACGGGCCUCUGUUUCAUGCUCGUGGUUCGGGAUGAGCUUGCGGCCCAUUAGCUGGUUGGUAGGGUAACGGCCUACCAAGGCAACGAUGGGUAGCUGGUCUGAGAGGAUGAUCAGCCACACUGGCACUGAGACACGGGCCAGACUCCUACGGG
Molecule: ribosomal RNA, 251 nt
Filed under: uncultured Pelobacter sp.
Lineage: Bacteria; Pseudomonadati; Thermodesulfobacteriota; Desulfuromonadia; Desulfuromonadales; Desulfuromonadaceae
Description: partial 16S ribosomal RNA
Rfam family: Bacterial small subunit ribosomal RNA
Source: RNAcentral